GUUGACAGACAUCAGCUGAGUGAGUGGCAGGUGAAGACCCCAGGACCUACGUCCGUCCAGUUCUUCAUCCUCUUUCUGCCAUAAGCUGCAGACCAAGCAUCAAGCACUCACGGAACUACAAGCAGUGCUGCCAACAUUCGACUGUGUGUCCACGCGGAACCCAGAGACACCCUCUGUUUGCCUGAAAAUGACUGACAGGAUGGAAACUGACCAGUCAUCUCCUGCUUCUGGCACCAUCAAGGACUGGUUAACUCAAAAUGCUGGUCCACAUGGGAGGAUGAACCUGGGUUCCAAGAUCAGCCAAAUGCUCUGGGCUCUGGAUCAGAACUCCGGAACUGGACAGUCAAGCUAGGGACCAUCUUAGAAAUGAGAGAAUAUGGUAAAGGAUACUUUUGGAAGAAGUGAUGUAUUUUUCCUUGCGUUUCAAGAGACGAAAUUGAGACCAGAGCAAGUUAUCAAUUCAAUCUGUACUCACGUGUAAAAACGCGCACAGAGGUCACACAUCCUGUUCACAGGCAGAUAGAUUCUGAAACCAAAAACCAGGCGGAAUAGGUAUUCCCAUUCCAAAGAAAGAGCUGUACGCAUGUUUUUAUUUGCAUUUCAAAACUCUACCAAAUGGCCACAAUCAACUACUUGGGAUUUUUCCUAAUUAGUAUUGCUCUGUGCCUCUGUCACCUUUAGCAGAAAGCUGAAAAUUUGUAACCUUCAAAAUUAGCAGCAAUGAAUGCCAGAAAGCUUUUCAAAGAACAGUCAAUGUGCCUUUGGGACCUAAUUGCUGCACCUGAAAGUGUCGUCUGAGGAUUUUUCAGUCUUCAGAGAAGUCCCCGACCCUUGGGAGAACUAGCGUUCAAACUAAAAAUUUCCCCCAAAUCAUAUACCUGAGAAAAAUGUUAGAACAGAUUUACCCAUAAAGGCAAGGAAAUAAAACGGAGAAUAAACAAACCGUAAAUCCGAUGUCUCUCCCUUCCUUAAAUACUCCAAUGGCUUCCUACUGUACUUGGAACACUAAUAAAACCUCCUUACCACGACCUUUGAGGCCCCACAUGACCUGUCCCCCAACCAUAUCUCCUG
This is a long non-coding RNA of Acinonyx jubatus (cheetah), 1071 nucleotides long. RefSeq lists it as uncharacterized. The record is from RefSeq and is a predicted model, not a curated record. Lineage: Eukaryota; Metazoa; Chordata; Mammalia; Carnivora; Felidae. The transcript has 3 exons.